RNAcentral lists this long non-coding RNA (768 nucleotides) under Mustela putorius furo (domestic ferret). RNAcentral's name for it is "lncRNA (ENSMPUG00000029994.1)". Lineage: Eukaryota; Metazoa; Chordata; Mammalia; Carnivora; Mustelidae. The record is from RNAcentral.
CUCCAAAGCCCUCUUCUAUCAGCCAUGCCAUGCUCUGUGUAGGUUCGGCUGGGAGCCAGAAGAACACGCUCAGUCAGCCACAUGUGGAUGCAGGCCUUUUCCUCACUACCACUGGGGCGGGACAAGGGGCGGUCCAACAUGGCCCCAGCAGCCUGGCCUGCACCCUCAGACCUCCUGCCCACAACGCCAUAAAGAGCAUACUUGUCCCCCGUGAAACUCUCUUCAUCCAAGGAAGAACGCGUGCUCCUCUUCUGAAGGUCCUUGGAUGCCUGCUGAGAUGUUGUUGACGCCUCGUGUCACACCGCAGCUCCGUCCAGAUGAUUCUAAUAAUAGCCCAGUGGAAUCCUGUGGUUGGAGGAGACUGAGAGAGGUCACUGAGUCUGUCUUCUGCCUGCAGAAGGGAAUUAAGAUCUCCAGAAUUCUCCCGCAGCAGCCAUCAACAUUGCCGUUGGCUCUUACAUCCCUUGCCCCAGGCAUCACUACGCUGAUGGGCCACCAGAGCCUGAGGCAUUCCGAGAUGACACAUAGCACAAGACACAAAGCACAGAUAAGUGCAGAGGUGGCCUCUUCUUUACAUCUCUUGUCUCUUGGAGUCUCUUGGAGUUAUUACCCCUGUCUUCUCACAAUGUAGUAUUUGUGUUUUCUCCAGCUCUGGGCUACUGUUGGCAUUUGCUUUCACUGAGGCCAAAGAGGUGUGUAAGUACCCUGCCUACAGCCUGAGCCCUGUCUAAAGAAAGCUGUGUUAGCUUCCCUGCAUUUUCAAAAUUC